RNAcentral lists this ribosomal RNA (586 nucleotides) under uncultured Gammaproteobacteria bacterium. RNAcentral's name for it is "bacterial SSU rRNA". It matches the Rfam family "Bacterial small subunit ribosomal RNA", at positions 49 to 630 of the family's 1533-position model. The record is from RNAcentral. Lineage: Bacteria; Pseudomonadati; Pseudomonadota; Gammaproteobacteria.
UAACACAUGCAAGUCGAUCGGUAACGCGGGGGCAACCCUGGCGACGAGAGGCGGACGGGUGAGGAACGCUUGGGAAUCUGCCUAUCAGCGGGGGACAACACGGGGAAACUCGUGCUAAUACCGCAUACGCUCUACGGAGGAAAGCCGGGGACCGCAAGGCCUGGCACUGAUAGAUGAGCCCAAGUCGGAUUAGCUAGUUGGCGGGGUAACGGCCCACCAAGGCGACGAUCCGUAGCUGGUCUGAGAGGACGAUCAGCCACACUGGAACUGAGACACGGUCCAGACUCCUACGGGAGGCAGCAGUGGGGAAUAUUGGACAAUGGGGGAAACCCUGAUCCAGCGACGCCGCGUGGGUGAAGAAGGCCUGCGGGUUGUAAAGCCCUUUCGGUAGGGACGAAAGCUCUCGACCUAACACGUCGGGAGGUUGACUUAACCUACAAAAGAAGCACCGGCUAACUCUGUGCCAGCAGCCGCGGUAAUACAGAGGGUGCGAGCGUUAAUCGGAAUUACUGGGCGUAAAGCGCACGUAGGCGGCUUGGUAUGUCGGGUGUGAAAUCCCCGAACUCAACCUGGGAACUGCAUCCGA